CCUACGGUGUGCAGCAGUGAGGAAUAUUGGUCAAUGGGCUUACGCCUGAACCAGCCAAGUCGCGUGAGGGAAGACUGCCCUAUGGGUUGUAAACCUCUUUUGUCAGGGAGCAACGCCGGCUACGUGUAGCCGGACUGAGAGUACCUGAAGAAAAAGCAUCGGCUAACUCCGUGCCAGCAGCCGCGGUAAUACGGAGGAUGCGAGCGUUAUCCGGAUUUAUGGGGUUUAAAGGGUGCGUAGGCGGAAGGCCAAGUCAGCGGUAAAAUCGCGGGGCUAAACCUCGCUCCGCCGUUGAAACUGGUGUUCGUGAGUGGGCGAGAAGUAUGCGAAAUGCGUGGGGUAGCGGUGAAAUGCAUAGAUAUC
This 363-nucleotide ribosomal RNA is filed under the name uncultured bacterium. RNAcentral describes it as "partial 16S ribosomal RNA". It matches the Rfam family "Bacterial small subunit ribosomal RNA", at positions 338 to 698 of the family's 1533-position model. The record is from RNAcentral.